CCUACGGGAGGCAGCAGUAGGGAAUAUUGCUCAAUGGGGGAAACCCUGAAGCAGCAACGCCGCGUGGAGGAUGAAGGUUUUCGGAUCGUAAACUCCUUUUGUUAGAGAAGAUAAUGACGGUAUCUAACGAAUAAGCACCGGCUAACUCCGUGCCAGCAGCCGCGGUAAUACGGAGGGUGCAAGCGUUACUCGGAAUCACUGGGCGUAAAGAGCGCGUAGGCGGGAUAGCAAGUCAGAUGUGAAAUCCUAUGGCUUAACCAUAGAACUGCAUUUGAAACUGUUAUUCUAGAGUAUGGGAGAGGUAGGUGGAAUUCUUGGUGUAGGUGUAAAAUCCGUAGAGAUCAAGAGGAAUACUCAUUGCGAAGGCGACCUGCUAGAACAUAACUGACGCUGAUGCGCGAAAGCGUGGGGAGCAAACAGGAUUAGAUACCCUAGUAGUC
RNAcentral lists this ribosomal RNA (440 nucleotides) under uncultured bacterium. RNAcentral describes it as "partial 16S ribosomal RNA". It matches the Rfam family "Bacterial small subunit ribosomal RNA", at positions 338 to 795 of the family's 1533-position model. The record is from RNAcentral.